UCGAACGAUGAUGCCCACUUGUGGGUGGAUUAGUGGCGAACGGGUGAGUAACACGUGAGUAACCUGCCCUUGACUCUGGGAUAAGCCUGGGAAACUGGGUCUAAUACCGGAUAUGACCUUCCAUCGCAUGGUGGUUGGUGGAAAGCUUUUGUGGUUUUGGAUGGACUCGCGGCCUAUCAGCUUGUUGGUGGGGUAAUGGCCUACCAAGGCGACUACGGGUAGCCGGCCUGAGAGGGUGACCGGCCACACUGGGACUGAGACACGGCCCAGACUCCUACGGGAGGCAGCAGUGGGGAAUAUUGCACAAUGGGCGCAAGCCUGAUGCAGCGACGCCGCGUGAGGGAUGACGGCCUUCGGGUUGUAAACCUCUUUCAGUAGGGAAGAAGCGUAAGUGACGGUACCUGCAGAAGAAGCGCCGGCUAACUACGUGCCAGCAGCCGCGGUAAUACGUAGGGCGCAAGCGUUAUCCGGAAUUAUUGGGCGUAAAGAGCUCGUAGGCGGUUUGUCGCGUCUGCCGUGAAAGUCCGGGGCUCAACUCCGGAUCUGCGGUGGGUACGGGCAGACUAGAGUGAUGUAGGGGAGACUGGAAUUCCUGGUGUAGCGGUGAAAUGCGCAGAUAUCAGGAGGAACACCGAUGGCGAAGGCAGGUCUCUGGGCAUUAACUGACGCUGAGGAGCGAAAGCAUGGGGAGCGAACAGGAUUAGAUACCCUGGUAGUCCAUGCCGUAAACGUUGGGCACUAUGUGUGGGGGACAUUCCACGUUUUCCGCGCCGUAGCUAACGCAUUAAGUGCCCCGCCU
Molecule: ribosomal RNA, 799 nt
Filed under: Arthrobacter sp. BFES61
Lineage: Bacteria; Bacillati; Actinomycetota; Actinomycetes; Micrococcales; Micrococcaceae
Description: bacterial SSU rRNA
Rfam family: Bacterial small subunit ribosomal RNA
Source: RNAcentral